UUCUCUCUCUCUCUCUCUCUCUCUCUCUCUCUCUCUCUUUGUGUGGGUGUGUCAGAGAGAGAGAGACAGGGGGGAGAGAGAGAGAGAGAGAGAG
Non-coding RNA from Podarcis lilfordi (Lilford's wall lizard), 94 nucleotides. NCBI's taxonomy places the organism in Eukaryota, Metazoa, Chordata, Lepidosauria, Squamata, Lacertidae. The record is from the annotation of a GenBank genome assembly.